RNAcentral lists this ribosomal RNA (253 nucleotides) under uncultured bacterium. RNAcentral describes it as "partial 16S ribosomal RNA". It matches the Rfam family "Bacterial small subunit ribosomal RNA", at positions 524 to 776 of the family's 1533-position model. The record is from RNAcentral.
UACGGAGGGUGCAAACGUUGCUCGGAAUCAUUGGGCGUAAAGCGCACGUAGGCGGCCUGUUAAGUCGGGUGUGAAAUCCCUCGGCUCAACCGAGGAAGUGCAUUCGAAACUAGCAGGCUUGAGUAUGGAAGAGGGUCGUGGAAUUCCCGGUGUAGAGGUGAAAUGCGCAGAUAUCAGGAGGAACACCAAUUGCGAAGGCAGCUCGCUGGGACGUUACUGGCGCUGAGACGCGAAAGCGUGGGGAGCAAACAGG